AACGAACGCUGGCGCCAUGCCUAACUCAUGCAAGUCGAACGCCCCUCAAGAGGAGUGGCGAACGGGUGAGUAACGUGUGGGGACCUACCCAGCAGUUGGGGAUAACCGCGGGACACUGCGGUCAUUACCGACUAAGCCCUAAGGGAGAAAGGUUUCUCGCUGUUGGAGGGGCCCGGGUCGGAUUAGCUAGUUGGUGAAGUAACGGCUCACCAGGGCGACGAUCCGUAGCUGGUCUGAGAGGAUGAUCAGCCACACUGGGACUUAGACCCGGCCCAGACUCCUACGGGAGGCAGCAGUGGAGAAUAGUGGACAAUGGGGCCAACCCUGUUCCAACAAUGCCGCGUGAGUGAUGAAGGCCUUAGGGUUGUAAAGCUCUUUUACCGGGGACGAUGAUGACGGUACCCGGAGAAUAAGCCCCGGCUAACUUCGUGCCAGCCGCCGCGGUAA
RNAcentral lists this ribosomal RNA (447 nucleotides) under uncultured bacterium. Its description in RNAcentral is "partial 16S ribosomal RNA". It matches the Rfam family "Bacterial small subunit ribosomal RNA", at positions 29 to 523 of the family's 1533-position model. The record is from RNAcentral.